This 252-nucleotide long non-coding RNA is filed under the name Capsella rubella. Its description in RNAcentral is "long non-coding RNA (CRUB_LNC000280)". The record is from RNAcentral. Lineage: Eukaryota; Viridiplantae; Streptophyta; Magnoliopsida; Brassicales; Brassicaceae.
GAAGUGUGUUUAAAAGUGUGUAGAAAGACUUGUUGAAUUUUGGUCCGAAAUGGGCUAAGAACCCGCAAACAUUGCUUUGAAGCAUUAAAUAGCUUGUCUAGUGUUUUUUGGGGUUAGAAUAUGUUAGAAUAUAAUAAAUUUGAUUGAUUAAAAGUGCUAGAGAUGCAUGAAGAGUGUUUAGAAGUGUGGAGAAACACUUGUUGAAAUUUGGUCCCAAAAUGGGCUAAGAACUCAGAAACAUUGCAUUAAACC